GACGAACGCUGGCGGCGUGCUUAACACAUGCAAGUCGAACGGAAAGGCCCUGCUUUUGUGGGGUGCUCGAGUGGCGAACGGGUGAGUAACACGUGAGUAACCUGCCCUUGACUUUGGGAUAACUUCAGGAAACUGGGGCUAAUACCGGAUAGGAGCUCCUGCUGCAUGGUGGGGGUUGGAAAGUUUCGGCGGUUGGGGAUGGACUCGCGGCUUAUCAGCUUGUUGGUGGGGUAGUGGCUUACCAAGGCUUGGACGGGUAGCCGGCCUGAGAGGGUGACCGGCCACAUUGGGACUGCGAUACGGACCAGACUCCUACGGGAGGCAGCAGUGGGGAAUAUUGCACAAUGGGCGGAAGCCUGAUGCAGCAACGCCGCGUGCGGGAUGACGGCCUUCGGGUUGUAAACCGCUUUCGCCUGUGACGAAGCGUGAGUGACGGUAAUGAGUAAAGAAGCACCGGCUAACUACGUG
Molecule: ribosomal RNA, 468 nt
Filed under: uncultured bacterium
Lineage: Bacteria
Description: partial 16S ribosomal RNA
Rfam family: Bacterial small subunit ribosomal RNA
Source: RNAcentral